Molecule: ribosomal RNA, 691 nt
Filed under: uncultured bacterium
Lineage: Bacteria
Description: bacterial SSU rRNA
Rfam family: Bacterial small subunit ribosomal RNA
Source: RNAcentral
GCAGNNNNCGAUGAAGNNUAGCUUGCUAGGUGGANNAGUGGCGCACGGGUGAGUAAUAUAUAGAUAACGUGCCUCUUAGUCUGGGAUAGCCAUUGGAAACGAUGAUUAAUACUAGAUACUCCUUCUGAUUCUAAUUUCAGUCGGGAAAGUUUUUCGCUAAGAGAUCGGUCUAUAUCCCAUCAGUUAGUUGGUAAGGUAACGGCUUACCAAGACAAUGACGGGUAGCGGGUUUGAGAGGAUGAUCCGCCACACUGGUACUGAGACACGGACCAGACUCCUACGGGAGGCAGCAGUGAGGAAUAUUGCACAAUGGAGGAAACUCUGAUGCAGCAACGCCGCGUGGAGGAUGACGCAUUUCGGUGUGUAAACUCCUUUUAUAUGUCAAGAAAAUGACGGUAGCAUAUGAAUAAGCACCGGCUAACUCCGUGCCAGCAGCCGCGGUAAUACGGAGGGUGCAAGCGUUAUUCGGAAUCACUGGGCGUAAAGGACGCGUAGGCGGGAAGCCAAGUCUGAUGUGAAAUCCUAUGGCUUAACCAUAGAACUGCAUUGGAAACUGGUUACCUAGAGUAUGGGAGGGGGAGAUGGAAUUAGUGGUGUAGGGGUAAAAUCCGUAGAUAUCACUAGGAAUACCGAAAAGCGAAGGCGAUCUCCUGGAACAAUACUGACGCUAGGGCGUGAAAGCGUGGGGAGC